RNAcentral lists this small RNA (570 nucleotides) under Pongo abelii (Sumatran orangutan). RNAcentral's name for it is "processed transcript". The record is from RNAcentral. Lineage: Eukaryota; Metazoa; Chordata; Mammalia; Primates; Hominidae.
AAAUGGCCCAUGCGAUCAAGAUUGUACAUCGGUGCUACUGGUCAGUUUCUGAAGCAUUCUGUUUCUGGAGAAAAAACAAAUCAUGACAACACUCCAACAGGCUCACAGCCUUAGGCUCUCCCCUGGUGGGGGCUGGUAGAAGUGGUGGCUAUUGUUUUUAAAUACUAUGACAUAAUUCUAUAUUUAUUAUAUGAGACAUAACAAAAUUUCUGAAAGUUUACAUGUGAACCCAUAGUUGGAUGUUCAGGUUUAUCUGUCUAAAUGUGGAAUGAAAUAAUCAGUGUUAUAUAAAACACACAGCUUAUCUGUUCAGUGUGAGAGUCACUACUGUAUAGUGCAAGAGAAAUUAUUAGAAAAAAGGAGUCACAUGAAAGCAAACAAUUGUGUAUAUAGCUAAAUAAUGCAAUAUAGAUAUUGCUAUAGUGUAUCUAUUACAAACAGAAAAGUUCAUGUCUAUUGGUGCAGUCUUCCUAGUUUAAAAAGAUAAAAAUCUGUGUUUAUAAUAUACCAGUAUUCCUUUUUUGUGAAAACCAUACCGUGCUUAAGUUGGUCUAAGACGCCAUUUCAAAA